CCCACCCGUCCCUGCCUCCGAGAGCCGGAGCCGUGUGGAAGCCGUUGCUCCUUUCUAUGCCCUCUUGGUUGCAUUCGCUGCAACGACUGUAUGAAUAGACAGGUGUAAAGUACUUCGGUUUUACAGCUCAUGUCACCAACGGAAAGUGAAGCGAUGUGGUCUAAAAACUGCCUUUUCCUCUUGCUGCAUGAAUCUACACAAGAUGCACAGGGCUGAACAAAAGCAAACGGUCCUGAUGUCCUCAUAAAGUAUUCACGGACUUUAUUAAACUGUAUUUUGUAAGCUAAAAUACUGAAGAUGAUCAUGUAAAAUGCAAGGUACGGCAGAUUUUCUAUACAGAAAGAUCAUCGACCUGGUUAGGAUGACUGGUAUUUAGUACUACAGUUGUCACCAAUAUUUUUAUAGUUGCUUGAUCCCUAAUAUGACAUAUGCACCAUCCCAGAAAUCUUUACGGUUACCUUCCAUGAUAGCUGUCAGAGAACUAAUCUGCAGGAGAGGUGGAUUGCAUGCGUUGUCCACAACCUGAGUGAAAACCUGUCGAGCCUGUUGGGCACAGAGGUUGGUCAGCAGGUUAAAACCCAACAGGUGGCUGGUUACAGGGGCCUUCCACAGAGGUCACCACUGGUGCUGAUACUGCCUGACAUCUUCAUCAACCACCUGGACUGUGGAGCCCUUCUCGGGUUCAUGGACAACCCCAACCCGGGGGCAGCAGUUGGUAUGCUGGAGGGCAGGACUACAGUGAGGCAUCUCAGCAUCCUGGAGGAGUGAGCUGAUAGGAGCCUUGUAAAGUUCAACACAGACAAAUGACAAGCCUUGCACCUGGGACAGAGUGACUCCGUGCAUCACCCACACAUCAGUUUGUGCCGGGGACUUGCUAGGGAGCAGCUUUGCUGAGGAGGCCCGCUGGACCCCAUCUAAUCUUUCUAUUUGCGGGAGCUGAAAGAAAGACUGCGUGCACGUUUGAGCACCUGUGAAGCGCAUGCUGCAAUGACACCAGAGAAAACUUUUACAAGUGUCGCAAUCUGUGAAAUCCCCACAGAGUCAGUUUUCCUUUGGACAUGGAGCAUUAGUCCUCAAACAAAGCACAGUUUCGCCUAAAGCACACCUACCACCUAGAAUGGAUAUGAAGAUAUUGGAGCUCUGAAGCUGUCAAGAAAGGCCAACAGGACAUGCCCUGGUCCCUUAUGAUAGUCACGAAGCAAGGCAGAAUGGUGGGAUGCUUCCCUCAUUUCACCAGAAAAGAGGAUACUUCAACUAGUAGCUGCUGGUGCACAGAGGAUAAGAGUGGUUAAUAUAUGAAGAUCUUUGCCAGGAGGAACAAGAAAAGGAAGUUAAAGGUGCCGUGUUCUUGAGGAGAUGGAUACUGAAAGAUGGCAACCCCUAAACACUUCUAGGAUUGUGGCUACAGUGAAGAAUUUUGUCUAUCCGAAGAGCUUAAAUGAGCAGUAAUACACAGAUGCUAAAAACGUUACCAACAAAUAUUACCAAUACUGAGCAUAAUCACCAGACAGCCAACUCUACUCAAAUUAGAAAAUCGUAGGAACGGUUAGUCUUGAAUGGCACAAUGCGUACUGAGACUUGAACACAAACAGUGUUCUCCAUUAAAGCCCUUUGCUAGACGGCUUUAGCAGCAUAUGAGCAAAAACUUUCAGAAACAAACUAUGUUACUCUGGUUCCUAUGCAGUAAGCACAGAGAUACAUGUAUUGAAUUAUUUUGACUUUUGCUGGCUUGUCUGGUCUUCCAGGCAAAAACUGGUAUAGUAUAAUAUAUCUCUCUCUAUAUAUAUAUAGAUAUAGAUAUAUUAUAGUUUAUUUAACAUGCAUGUGGCAACUACAGAAGUUCCUCCCUAACCCCACCACUGCAACAUGCCAAAUACUAGCUUUAACAGAACUGUUGCCAUCCCAUCAGACAAGCAAUGGGCCUUCUAGCUUUCAGGAUUCCUGUGUUUUUCCCAUCAAUUCUUUUUUCUGUUGUUUGGAACAUGGGGCAGGGUGAAUGCAUAAGGCUUAGUCAGUCUGUAAAUAUUUUUGGACAGUUCUAGCUGUGCUCUGAAUGUGACGUUGUACUGAAAGAGCACAAAAUGGUAGAUGCUACCAGGCAUUAAGAACUGAGCACGAUCAGGGGGAAGAAGUUUUGACAGACUACAGUGUGAGGCAGGAGGAACUGUGCUAGGAGCCCACAGGUCAAGCACAGAGACUACAGCUUUGCAGUAGGCAGCAGGGAGCCCUUCUGGAUCUCAGAAGUGACAGAGACCCUCCCCAGGGAGCGGAAGAGACUAGACAGAACUGGCAGCAGCUUUCAGGAGUUACUUCCUCCAAGGAUACAAUAGGUAAGGUAGACUUGUAUUUAAAACCUUUAAUUUCUGUUCUGUCUUUCCUAAUCCUUUUGAGUUUUCCGUUCAGGAAGCUUAUCUGCCUAUUUCAUGUUCUUAUCAAGAAAGAGAGUCCAGUUUGGAUCGCUGAAGCCCACAAGACCUGUAAGCUCCUUCUGGUAUCUAACGAUCAUUUGUCAGUCCUUUCAGAAAUGGAACCUAAAUCGCAGCAAGAGAGAACAAAUGAACUUUUACUGUGAUCUUAUACAACCCUGCUGUGCUUCAGAACUUUAGAGCAACAACUAUCUAUUUCUGCAUAAGUAUUUCCAAAGAACGAGGGAAAGAUAUUCAAAGAGUACCAGCUAAGAGCAAACAUACUUCAAAACAGAAAAUGUUUUCCAGACUUUUAUGAAGUAUUGCUUAGUCUUUUAGAACUUGCUGAAGACAUGUUUUUGGAUCCAGAUCUGAGCAAUUCAUGAGGCAUUAAUAGUCAAUUCUGCUUACGAUAAUCUGUUUCUUUGCAAGGAUGACUGUGUCAGCUGAUUUCAGAAUAUUCCAGAAACUCCAACAAAAUCAUUUUGACAAUCUUUGGUUCCCACAGUCACAGAGGACAGGGGUACAUGUUUCAACAUUCAUGCUGAAGACCUAUCUCUCAUGCACAGAAUGGGAUUAUUUUCUGGAGAGGGAAAACUGAGGGAUGCACCCAAAUUAAAAGAUUAAGCAUGGCAGUGGUAUGUGAUAACUAAACAGUGAGCUAAUCAAUAACCUUAGUAGCAUUUCACACUACCUCAGCAGCAUCUCCCCGAGGACUUAAAGACUGAUUUAAGCCAUACAAGACUCCCUGACUUGGGAGGUAUCAGUCUCCUCUUUAACAGACGGAAUAAGGAAGCAGAGAGAGACUAAGAGCAAAAUGCAAAGAGAAGACGACCUCAAAUGUUCUUUGAUAAAUAAUUGUUCCUUGAAAUUCCUUAACUAGAGACUAAAAGGAGGUACAGUGUAAUCAUAAAGUAUGCUCCCAAGAUUUACAUCCGCUUUCUCUCAGCUGCAACAGAGCAAGGCAGCCAUUGUAAUUUAGAACAUUCUUGCCUGUAGUGCAGAACUGGAGCUCAAAUCUUUGAUCACAUUGCAGAAAGAUGCUGAAUAGGGUCAUUGUGGGUAGGCCAUGGAAACUAAGAGCUACCCUGGUUUAUUUGUGAGAGUCUGGCUCCGAUUCCUUAGAGCAGCACCUGCCUUGAUAUAUGGCAGUAGCCUAUCUGCCUUUAUAAAAUGUACAUAUUUUAUAAACUGCUACAUUGUUUUCUAGGUAUAAGAAACCGGAAUGCCAACUGCCUGAAACUGUCAAAACCUGGAAAUAAGAAGGACCUCAUUUCAGGCAGGGAACUCUGUUUUAUCAACAGAUGGUACAGACGCUGUCUUGUCUUCUCUGUUUAGUACCCGAUUCUAUAUUUUUCAGCUUGAUGCAAAAUAACUGGGCUAAGCCAGUGAGGCCACAGUAAGUAUAUAAGUAUAAAAUAAAUGUCCAGCAAUUUUUUUUGUCAGUGCACGCAGGUCUUGCAAAAUGGAAUCAUGCAGGCAGGAAAGAGA
Struthio camelus australis is the source of this 3896-nucleotide non-coding RNA. Lineage: Eukaryota; Metazoa; Chordata; Aves; Struthioniformes; Struthionidae. The record is from RefSeq and is a predicted model, not a curated record.